Molecule: ribosomal RNA, 496 nt
Filed under: uncultured bacterium
Lineage: Bacteria
Description: partial 16S ribosomal RNA
Rfam family: Bacterial small subunit ribosomal RNA
Source: RNAcentral
AUGUGCGCUUGCGGCGUGCCUAAUACAUGCAAGUCGCGCGAACAGACGAGGAGCUUGCUCCUAUGACGUUAGCGGCGGACGGGUGAGUAACACGUGGAUAACCUACCUAUAAGACUGGGAUAACUUCGGGAAACCGGAGCUAAUACCGGAUAAUAUAUUGAACCGCAUGGCUCAAUAGUGAAAGACGGAUUUGCUGUCAAUUAUAGAUGGAUCCGCGCCGCAUUAGCUAGUUGGUAAGGUAACGGCUUACCAAGGCAACGAUGCGAAGCCGACCUGAGCGGGUGAUCGGCCACACUGGAACUGAGACACGGUCCAGACUCCUACGGGAGGCAGCAGUAGGGAAUCUUCCGCAAUGGGCGAAAGCCUGACGGAGCAACGCCGCGUGAGUGAUGAGGGUCUUCGGAUCGUAAAACUCUGUUAUUAGGGAAGAACAAAUGUGUAAGUAACUAUGCGCGUCUUGACGGUACCUAAUCAGAAAGCCACGGCUAACUACGUG